GAUCCUCCUGCCAGCCAUCACCAUGUUACCCACAUAGAUGGUCACAGCUCUAUGAUACCAGGGUUGAGCAGACACCAAUAUGAUCAAUUGAUGAGCUUGUUGCAACGGACCAAGUUAAGGGAUUCCAGUGAUCAAACUCCUCCUCCCAUGUAUGCUGCUAAUUUGCUGGUACUAUGUUGACUGAGAGUCUUGUUUCUGAUUUUAAAUUAUGCAUGCUUACAUACAUUAAUUCUGUCACCUGGAUCAUAGAUUCAGGGGCAUCUAAUCAUGUGACACAUGAUAAGAACCUACUCUUUAACAUCAUACCUUUGACUGUUCCUUAUCUUGUAACUUUGCCUAAUGGUUACAAAGUGAAAGUAACUUGUUCAGGUUCUUUUACAUUAACUUCUUCCCUUACUCUUCAUAAUGUGCUUCUGGUUCCUUCCUUUAAACACAAUUUGAUUUCUAUUCACAAGUUGAUUAAACAGUUGCACUGUAUAGUUUUAUUCACCCCAACUUCCUGUUUACUUCACAUGAUACAGGACCCUUCUCUGAAGAGGCAUCUGGAUCUUGGUAAAGAGGAAGCUGGCUUAUACAAACUGUCUUGGGUGCCUCCUUCCCUUUCUCACUCUUCUGUUUCUCUUUUUACUUCUGUGUGUGCUUUGUCUAAUUUUUGUAAUGAUGACACUGUGUCUGACAGCAAAAAUGUUGGUUUACCUCCAAUUGUAAACAAUUCCAAUGCUUUGUCUGAUUUUUGUAAUGAUGACACUGUGUCUGACAGCAAAAACGUUGGUUUACCUCCAAUUGUAAACAAUUCCAUUUGUAAUAAUACUGUUAUCAAUGAUAUGAAUUACAUUUGGCAUUUAAGACUGGCACAUACUCCUUUUGCAAAUAUGAGACAUAUUUCUGGUUUGUCUUUUCCACUUGCUCCUUUACAACCCUUUCCCUGUUUUGUCUGCCUUAUGGCCAAGUAGACUAGACUUCUUUUCAUGACAGUAGUAUCAGUACAACUAGACCAUUCCAAUUGAUACAUGUGGAUACUUGGGGACCUUACCACACUUCUACUUCUUCUGGUUACAAAUACUUCCUUACUAUAGUUGAUGACUUUUCUAGGGCAACCUGGACACACUUAAUGAGAUCCAAAAGCAAUACCUUUUCCCUACUUAAGUCUUCCAUUUCUUUUGUUAAGACUCAGUUUAAUUUUGUGGUUCAGAAUGUCAGAAGUGACAAUGCCUUAGAAUUGGGAUCCAGCACUAAGGGAAUAUCCUUCUUUAGUAGCCAGGGAUCAUUCAUCAAACCUCUUGCCCUCAUUCACCUCAACAGAAUGGUGUUGUUGAAAGAAAA
This 1323-nucleotide long non-coding RNA is filed under the name Nicotiana benthamiana. RNAcentral describes it as "long non-coding RNA (NBEN_LNC022086)". The record is from RNAcentral. Lineage: Eukaryota; Viridiplantae; Streptophyta; Magnoliopsida; Solanales; Solanaceae.